UAGAGUUUGAUCCUGGCUCAGAUUGAACGCUGGCGGCAGGCUUAACACAUGCAAGUCGAGCGGUAACAUUUCUAGCUUGCUAGAAGAUGACGAGCGGCGGACGGGUGAGUAAUGCUUGGGAAUAUGCCUUAUGGUGGGGGACAACAGUUGGAAACGACUGCUAAUACCGCAUAACGUCUACGGACCAAAGGGGGGGAUCUUCGGACCUCUCGCCAUUUGAUUAGCCCAAGUGAGAUUAGCUAGUUGGUAAGGUAAUGGCUUACCAAGGCGACGAUCUCUAGCUGGUUUGAGAGGAUGAUCAGCCACACUGGGACUGAGACACGGCCCAGACUCCUACGGGAGGCAGCAGUGGGGAAUAUUGCACAAUGGGCGAAAGCCUGAUGCAGCCAUGCCGCGUGUGUGAAGAAGGCCUUCGGGUUGUAAAGCACUUUCAGUUGUGAGGAAAGGGGUGUAGUUAAUAGCUGCGCUCUGUGACGUUAACAACAGAAGAAGCACCGGCUAACUUCGUGCCAGCAGCCGCGGUAAUACGAGGGGUGCAAGCGUUAAUCGGAAUUACUGGGCGUAAAGCGUUCGUAGGCGGUUUGUUAAGCAAGAUGUGAAAGCCCAGGGCUCAACCUUGGAACUGCAUUUUGAACUGGCAAACUAGAGUACUGUAAGGGGGGUAGAAUUUCA
Molecule: ribosomal RNA, 672 nt
Filed under: uncultured Vibrionaceae bacterium
Lineage: Bacteria; Pseudomonadati; Pseudomonadota; Gammaproteobacteria; Vibrionales; Vibrionaceae
Description: bacterial SSU rRNA
Rfam family: Bacterial small subunit ribosomal RNA
Source: RNAcentral